This 46-nucleotide non-coding RNA is filed under the name Schistosoma curassoni. The record is from RNAcentral. Lineage: Eukaryota; Metazoa; Platyhelminthes; Trematoda; Strigeidida; Schistosomatidae.
AUCUAGCUGACGAGUUCAAGAGUAGGACGAAACUCGCAUCUUGGAU